Ailuropoda melanoleuca (giant panda) is the source of this 104-nucleotide small nuclear RNA. NCBI's taxonomy places the organism in Eukaryota, Metazoa, Chordata, Mammalia, Carnivora, Ursidae. The record is from Ensembl.
GUGCUCUCGGCGGCACGCCUGCUAUCGUUGGAGUGACGCAGACAAGAUUAGCAUGGCCGCUGCAUAAGAAGGUCACGAAAAUUCAUGAGACGUUCCACAUUUCU